UUAAAUUGAAACAUGUGUUUGAGGUUGCA
Molecule: non-coding RNA, 29 nt
Filed under: Mus musculus (house mouse)
Lineage: Eukaryota; Metazoa; Chordata; Mammalia; Rodentia; Muridae
Source: RNAcentral